Molecule: ribosomal RNA, 201 nt
Filed under: uncultured bacterium
Lineage: Bacteria
Description: partial 16S ribosomal RNA
Rfam family: Bacterial small subunit ribosomal RNA
Source: RNAcentral
CAGUCUGCAACUCGACUGCACGAAGUCGGAAUUGCUAGUAAUCGCGGAUCAGCAUGCCGCGGUGAAUACGUUCCCGGGCCUUGUACACACCGCCCGUCACACCAUGAGAGUCGGGAACACCCGAAGUCCGUAGUCUAACCGCAAGGAGGACGCGGCCGAAGGUGGGCUUGAUAAAUUGGGGUGAAGUCGUAACAAGGUAAC